CCUACGGGGUGCAGCAGUGGGGAAUAUUGCACAAUGGGGGCAACCCUGAUGCAGCGACGCCGCGUGAGUGAAGAAGUAUUUCGGUGCGUAAAGCUCUAUCAGCAGGGAAGAAAAUGACGGUACCUGACUAAGAAGCCCCGGUUAACGACGGGCCAGCAGCCGCGGUAAUACGUAGGGGGCAAGCGUUAUCCGGAUUUACUGGGUUUAAAGGGAGCGUAGACGGCAGCGCAGGGCUGGAGUGAAAUCCAAUGGCUUAACCAUGGAACUGCUUUGGAAACUGGGCAGCUGGAGUGCAGGAGAGGUAAGCGGAAUUCCUAGUGUAGCGGUGAAAUGCGUAGAUAUUAGGAGGAACACCAGUGGCGAAGGCGGCUUACUGGACUGUAACUGACGUUGAGGCUCGAAAGCGUGGGGAGCAAACAGGAUUAGAUACCCUUGUAGUC
This 440-nucleotide ribosomal RNA is filed under the name uncultured bacterium. RNAcentral describes it as "partial 16S ribosomal RNA". It matches the Rfam family "Bacterial small subunit ribosomal RNA", at positions 338 to 795 of the family's 1533-position model. The record is from RNAcentral.